UGACCUAGCUACUGAAAUCUAUAUGUUUUUUUCAAUAAUUCUUUUUAUUAAGUAGUUAAUAUUUAUUAAGAAAAAUUAUAAAAAACAAAAUAAAGAUAAGGUAAGGGAAAAUAAUGAUAUUACCUUACUAUAGUGUUGUCAAAAUUUGGUGCCAGAAGACUCGGUAAGGCCAAAAACGCAAACGUUAGCAUCUUUAUCAGGCGUAAAGGGUUUGUAGGCGGCCUUAAUAGCUUUUAAAUUUUAUUAUUUAAACAAAAGAAAAUUUACUUAAAAUUAAGUAAACUAAGGCUAAAUUAAGUGCUAGAGUCAAUUAGAGGUUAUAUUAUAGAAUGCUUAAAGUAGGGCCAAUAUCCACAAAGAUUAAGCAGAAUAUUAAGGGCGAAGGCUUUUUCUCCACUACGGAAAAUAUAAUAACUGACGCUGAGAAACGAAGGGGAGGAUAGGAAAUAGGAUUAGAUACCCAGAAUACCCCUCUCUGUCAACGAUGAAUGGUAAUUUCUAGUAAGUUAUAAAAAAUAACCAAUAUUAGUUUUAAUGUUAACACGUUAACCAUUCCGCCUUGUGAGUACGAUUGAAAUUGAAAAAAAAAAUUAGUCGGUUUCGGAGCGACGAA
This 613-nucleotide ribosomal RNA is filed under the name Scytinostroma alutum. RNAcentral's name for it is "partial 12S ribosomal RNA". It matches the Rfam family "Bacterial small subunit ribosomal RNA", at positions 384 to 936 of the family's 1533-position model. The record is from RNAcentral. Lineage: Eukaryota; Fungi; Basidiomycota; Agaricomycetes; Russulales; Lachnocladiaceae.